RNAcentral lists this long non-coding RNA (409 nucleotides) under Chinchilla lanigera (long-tailed chinchilla). RNAcentral describes it as "lncRNA (ENSCLAG00000024254.1)". The record is from RNAcentral. Lineage: Eukaryota; Metazoa; Chordata; Mammalia; Rodentia; Chinchillidae.
ACAGGCUAUUUAAACAAACACUGUGAUUGCAAUUUAGACAAUCUGGAGUCCAUUCAAUAUUAAAUCCCUACCCCAAGCUACAGCUACUACACAAAUAGGGAAUUCAUGGUAUACUCCACAUGGCCAUUUACUACUGAAACUCUUGCCUCCUGACAAUCGUAGGGAGGAGCUAGCCAGGCCUAACAUUACACCAGUUAAAUCUGUCAACAACUGGAGAAAGCGCUCCGCUGGGCAAACAUCCCGAUCCCCCUCACACAGCCUGGCUUUGUCCUGGCCUCGCCGCAACAACACUAAUCUUCUCAUACUAUCUUCAGCAGCGCAAGCAGAAACUUCUGUGACUAGCUCUAACAAAAGACGCCUUUCUUUAUCUUCACGCACACUGAGCAAGGAGUCCUUCCAAAUAGUGUGA